RNAcentral lists this ribosomal RNA (427 nucleotides) under uncultured bacterium. Its description in RNAcentral is "bacterial SSU rRNA". It matches the Rfam family "Bacterial small subunit ribosomal RNA", at positions 355 to 774 of the family's 1533-position model. The record is from RNAcentral.
UAGGGAAUAUUGGACAAUGGGGGCAACCCUGAUCCAGCCAUGCCGCGUGAGUGAAGAAGGCCCUCGGGUUGUAAAGCUCUUUUGUCCGGAAAGAAAAGCAUUCGGUGAAUACCCGGAUGUUCUGACGGUACCGGAAGAAUAAGCACCGGCUAACUUCGUGCCAGCAGCCGCGGUAAUACGAAGGGUGCAAGCGUUACUCGGAAUUACUGGGCGUAAAGCGUGCGUAGGUGGUUGUUUAAGUCUGAUGUGAAAGCCCUGGGCUCAACCUGGGAAUUGCAUUGGAAACUGGGCAGCUAGAGUGCGGUAGGGGGUAGUGGAAUUCCCGGUGUAGCAGUGAAAUGCGUAGAGAUCGGGAGGAACAUCUGUGGCGAAGGCGACUGCCUGGACCAGCACUGACACUGAGGCACGAAAGCGUGGGGAGCAAACA